CAAAACUUGCUUGUGAAUGAAUAGGUACAGAUUUGCACGCAAAAUCUGCAAAAAAUGCCCACUGUAACCUGAAAUUUGCUUACCUAUGGAAAACAAACCUACAUCAUAUAAAACACCUGUCAUGGGAUCGAUUCCUUGCUUGCGAUUCACUACAGAAAAAAUGGCGCAAGAAAAAUACUUCUAUGCUUGAUAUCAAAAUCGAAAAUCAGUUUAGGUUGGUAUUUUGCGCACAGGCUUGGCCGGGGCAUCGAUUCCCGUCUCCUUACUCCUCUGCCGUCAUCCUCGCUGUCCCCGUCCUUGCCGUCCCCCCGCUCAUCCAUGUAGAUGACGCCGCCGUGUCGGCCGAACACCUCCCCUGCCUCCCCCCUAGUUAGCGAAAAUUGGGUGAAAAUGGUGAAGGAGUAGGGCGUGUGACUUACCUACUCUCUCCUGAC
RNAcentral lists this long non-coding RNA (434 nucleotides) under Hordeum vulgare. RNAcentral describes it as "long non-coding RNA (HVUL_LNC017367)". Lineage: Eukaryota; Viridiplantae; Streptophyta; Magnoliopsida; Poales; Poaceae. The record is from RNAcentral.